Long non-coding RNA from Papaver somniferum (opium poppy), 1985 nucleotides. RefSeq lists it as uncharacterized. The record is from RefSeq and is a predicted model, not a curated record. The transcript is spliced from 2 exons. NCBI's taxonomy places the organism in Eukaryota, Viridiplantae, Streptophyta, Magnoliopsida, Ranunculales, Papaveraceae.
CAACACAGACACGUUGUGGCUGCAGGUGUCGAAGUGAGUGGAUGUAGGAGCGGUGAAAUCCUUUGGCUUUAUCAACACCAAAGUCGUACAGAGAGUUUCAUUUGAUUUUCUUUUCUUCCUUCUUCUGCUUCUCUUCUUCUCAUUCUGUAGAAUUCAAGUGAUGAAUUUGAUAGCACGUUUGAGAGUUCUUGGUUGAUGCAACUAUUUUGAUGGUGUAUGAGGUGUUGUCGAUGUGAUUUAAGAAUGAGAAGAUAUAGUAUUGCUGAGGUUUUGAGAUGUAUCAGGGAGAAGUGGAGUUAGGGUUUCUGUGAGUUGAUGAAGGUUUGAUUUGAGGUAAUUAGAGAUGGGUUUAGUUGAUUGAAUUAAGGGUUUGCAUUCAAUUGAUAAUCUGAGGUGGUUUUAAUGUAAACUGAGAAGUUAGGGUUUCUCCGAAAAUCGUUGAGGGUGAAAACGAUAUUGAGACUCAAAUCAAGAUAGAAGAAGAGUAGAGUUAGUUUUAGUUGGUGGUGGUGGUGUUGAUUCAAGCGGCUGAUACAGAACAUGCAGAAAAGGUAAUUUGAGAAUUUAAAUUAGGGUUCUUUAAUUCGAAUAUUUUUUCUGUAAAUUGGAUAAGAGAUGAUGAAUCCUAGAUGGGUUUUGAUCAGAUUUGAAGUAAAGAUGUUUAUGUAAGUUUAAUUUUGAUUUCAAUGAAAUUAGGGUUUCUCAUGUUCUUCCCCAAAUCAUAAGUCAGGGUUCCUGAGAGGGAAACUAUAAAUGAGUUUAAGGUUGUUCUUGGGGAUUUUGGGAAUGUUGAGACAUAGAUGAAGAUUUUGUUUUGCAGUUAGAGAUGAAGUUAUGGGUGUGGUCUGAGAGUUGAAUUUAGUGAUACUGAAGAUGGUUGUUGAGUGUUGAUUGAAGUAAGAGUUGAUUGAACUCAUGCUGAUGUUGUAUGAGUUUUUAGCUCAGAUCUUGUAGCAAAGCCGUAGAGUUGGAUUCUGAUAGUGAUAUUAGAUAGAGCUAAUUGUGUUGGGACUGAAUUACAGUUGUGGAAAAUGGUGUUAUGCCCGAGAACAAUGGCUCUGUGGUGUUGUGUUCAAUUGUAGCUGCAUAUUAGAAGUAAUGGUAAAUGGAGAUGGUAUUAUUUGUGAAAAUGAAGUGAAAUGGGUCUGUUGUGUCUGUGAGGUUAUGAGCUGAAUUGUGAUCAACGAGGAUUGGGCCGCUGUUGAAGUAAUUAGCGCAAUAAGAAGUAGAUAUAUUAGUCUGAGAAAUUAUGGAACUGUGGAUUGGUGGUAGUAGUUUUCUUAAUAUUGGUUAAAAAUGCAGUGUAGUUAUAUUUGCUGGUGGUAAUUGAGAAAAGAGUGUGUUUGAAGUUUCAGUUCUGAGUAAUGGUGGUGUUGUAUGGAUGUUGGCUACAUGGAGUUGUGUUGGUUGCGGUUGCAAUUGGGUUGUGCUCUAAGUAUGUGAUUACAGAUUGAAUGUAAUUAGGAUUUGAACUGUGUGUGAUUGAAGAUAGUUAUAUCUGGAGUUACAGAGAGUUGGGUUGAGACAUAAAUUGAAAUAAUUGGUGGUGGAGGUAUGUAUAAGUUAGUGAUUUAGGAAUGAAGAUUACAGUUGGGUGGUAGUGCUGAGUUGAGAAUGAAGUUGCAGGUGUUGUGGGUGAUCACAUUAAAAGUGUAGGAGCUGCAGUUUGUGUUAGUGGUUGAGCUAAGUUGAUAUGUAAUGGUAGAUGUGUAGCUUGAUGGUAGUCUCAUUGGAAGCUUGCUUCUGCUACAUAAAGUUUCAGAGACAGAUCAGAGUUGCGCAGCGAAAGCUUCAAGGGUUGUUAUCAUUAGCUGGUUAACUUCUAUUAUGUUUAUUAUAUUUCAUAUUGUAUCUGUAAACCAAAUGAUUAUUGUACAUGUAUCAUUUGAGAGGACUUCUUGUAUAUAUAUGUUUCAGAGCGGAUUAGUUUUGGGUUAAGUUUUGUAUCGCAUUUCUUAAUUUAAUGCUUAAGUACAUGUUUUGGA